ACAGUACAAACAUUGUUUUUAUUUCUUUAGAAAUAUAGCUUCUUUCUUUAGAAAUAUAGCUUCUCAUCAUAAUGUAACUAUGACUACUGAAUAGUAUAUUUAUUUCUUAAUUUGAGUAAUUAAAAAAUGUAAAAAAAAAGAAUAUAUUCCAGAAAAAGCUACGACUAGAAAAAUUAGCAUCAUUAAAAUUUUCAUCUAAUUUCACUAAAAAUUUUGAUUUCAGGUUUUAAUAAAUAGAUCAAUUAUAUGAAAGCCUGUAACUUUUUUUUAAUAACUUUUAAAAAUCCAUCUAUUAGCAAAUAUAGCAUUGUAAUUAUUUCCAAGAACAUUUUCAUUUACAGACUUAAAUUCUAUAUCUUGUAUCCCAAUUUGAAAAUCUAAUAUACCAAUUUAUAUUAAUGAAGAUUUUUGAGACUUAAAUAUAUCCUUGUGCUUGUUAUAUAUAAAACAUUGACAUCUUGGUCUUCGCAUUCAUCUGAUUCUCAAAAUGGCUUCCAAAAGACAAAUUAUUCAAUUUUCUUCAUCCUUAGAAAUGAUUUUCUUGCUUCUUAUUUUGGAUAGUCUCCUGAUCUUUUACAAGUACUACCAAACAAAUGAAGCAAAAAAAGAAUGUUGGAUAUCAUUAGAAACCUUGAACAUUUCUAAAGGUUGUAUUUGCUGCUAGAAAGUCAAAAUUUCAAAAUAGCAGCAAUUCAAGAAUCCCUUCCUCCCAGCUAGUCCAUCUAGGGAAAGGUCUGAAUGUUUUUAAAGGGCAUUUAAAAUUGAGAAGAGGAUUUUCUAAGCUCCUUGGGAUGUCACAUGGCUGUCAUAACCAGAGAUUGCAUCUGAGAUACUGACACUAUAAAAGAGAGGUGUGCUUGAACAAAACAAACAUUUCUUCUUCCCUCUCUCCUCCGCUACUUGUGUCUUCUCUACCCUCAUCAGCUGUUCUGUGGUCCCCUCCAUUUAUGUCUAUUUCUCUCUAGGCUUUAUGUGCCUUUCCACCUAUCUCUUGCUCAUAGCUUCUUUUUGUUUCCCUCUGUUUUUCUCUAUUUCCUUGACGUUAUGACUGUGGUUAUAAUAAUGUAUAUGUCAUCAGAUGAGUUAAACUUUGAUAUACUUCCAUCUCUCUCGUGCUUUUAAGUCACCUUAAAAUGAUUAAUGUUUCGAUUCAUGAACUUCAGAGGAAGAAAAGAAAUUUACUUCUAAUACACAGGCCAUGGUAGGCUACACUUAAUCAUCUACUUUAGCAACUAACAAAACAACUACCUAAGUCAUUCCCUUCUUUCCUACCAAAUUAAUUAGAUGCUUUUUUUUUUUUUUAAAUCUCCUAGUGUCAGUCAUAUGAAAGCAGUAGAGAAUUACAGACUUAGGAUACGAUUUUUACCUCUAUUUCUUGAGGAAUAUAUUGAGUUUAUCUCUUCUGCAACACUCAUUGUACAAAUGUAAAUAUCUUAGCAUGUUUAGAUAGCCCCCCCUCCCUCCACCCACCAAAACAAUUGUCUCCCACUGGAGGAAGUUAAAAGCCAUAGAGAAGACAAAUAGUAAAAUAAAUAUACCAACCACUAUAAUAUUAAAAAUAUUCUGGAGAAACAAAUGAGAGGUUUAGGACUGUAUAUAACAAAAAAAUAUGAUUAUUCUCUGAUAGUUCAAGUGAUGCUUGAUGCGAGAUUGGGUAGUUACAAACUGGAGGGUCAGCUGCAUCCAUGUCUCCUCUCUCCCAUCUCUCCUCCUUCCUGCAGCCAGAGAAAUCUAGUUAAAAUUCACCUGAGAAUUCAUGUUCCUGGAUGCUAACUCCUUCAACUAAAAACCCUUUGGUGCUUGAUUCUUUUUUAAUUUUUAUUUCCCCAAUUCAUUAUUUUUUUUUCUACUAUACAGUGUGGUGACCAAGAUACACUUACAUGUAUAUAUUCUUUCUUCUCACAUUAUCCUGCUCUGUCAUGAGGACUAGACAUAGUUCUUGACAUCCUAGGAAAGUCUCUCUGUGAUCGCUACAUAUUCUCACCUCAGAGAAAUGUCUUUAUACACUCUGUUCCCAAUGCCUAGAAACUUCUUCCUAUAUUCUCCUCUGUUCAGUUAAUUCAUGUUAAUUGCCCUAGAUAGAAAUGUGAGAGGCUUAGUGGUUUCCUUGUCCUAACACAUUUUUGGCAUUUCUUUGAUAUAAGAAAAUACUUUAGUUAGAUGCAUAUUUCUAGGACACAAAGACAACUAGUGUGUUUGGAACUUAUUGGCACAUAAAAUUUACUAAUAGCCACAAUUUGCCUAUGCUGAAGGUCAAAUUAUGUCUUCCCAAUAAGUAUUUGCUGUUAAAUAAUGGAGAUGAUCACAAGACUAGGAUUUCAUCUAAAACUUUAAAUCGAUAAAAUAUGAGAUUGGAAAUUGUAUUUUCCAGCUGAUGGUGCUUGUUCUGAUCAGAAAUACAAAGUCUUCUAGCCUGUUUCCAUAUGAACAUAUCCUAUACUUCAAUUUAUUUGCUCAAAAUUACAUACAAGGUAAAAAUUGUUCAUGUUGAUCACUCUAUUUGUGAUUUUUUUACCAGUGACUGUUUGCUAAUUUCAUUCACCAAAUACCAUGCUAUACAUUCUCAUGAAAAUCAUAUGGAUUAAAAUAAGUAAAAACAUCUUGCAACCAUUAACAAGUUCUGAAACUGUAAAAGACAUUACUUGGGGAGUAAUAUUUCUGUCCUUAAUAAUGAACUAGUGUUAUUUUUCUGAGACGUAAAAAUAACAGUUGUGUUUUCUUAGUUGUUAGAACUCUACACAAGUAACCAAGCUUCCAUGUGAAAAAUUUUCAUUUAUAAUAUUUGCUUGCUAAAAAUGUAAGCGCUUAUGAGAGAUAAAGGAUUGCCUUAGAUACUUUUAUUCUGGUUUCCUGUUUGCAAAAUCACCCUCUUUUAUGUACCCUGGAAAUUAUGUUUUUUUUUUUCGGUUUUGCAUUUGAUAAAAUCUUAAGGAUUUAGAAAAUCAAGAACUGGAUCUUUAUGUAAAUGGCAUGAAUGGCCUGAUUCCAAACGUCUUCCCACAGGACUUAGAAGCAAUUUAAUUUUCAAAAAAAUUUGAGGAGUUUUUUUUAAUUAAACCAUGUUUUCUAGAGAUCUCCUUCACUGAAAGCCUUUCAAGUACUACACACACAGAGAUCCUGGGAGUAGCAUGAAUUCUCAGGUGUAUGCAUUGUGCAGAAGUGAGGGGAGUUCAGAUGAGAUGAAAAAUAUUUGUGUGUGUGUGUGAACGUAUGUAAUUUUUCAUGAGACUGAUUUCUAUAAGUACCUUCUGAUAAAAUUUACCAUUUUCAUGUUGUUGAAAAUCAAGUUGAUUUAAAUAAUCCUCAUUAUUUAUUUACAGUGAGGUCUGUUAAUAAUACAAACAAUAACAAUAUAAAACUUAACUAAAAUUUUUUAGUAACUCUAAAUAUAAGCACUUGCAAGGCAGCUUACAAACACAUUUUUAGCCUACUGACUUUCUUUUUGCUGAUUUCUCCACUUUACCAGAGGUAAAGAAAAUAUUCUUGAUAGAAAAAUUUUUUAUUUUUCUGUGGUCUUAGGCAAACAUUAGCUAUUUUCAUUUUAAAGUAGUAUAUUUUUCUUUCCAUUAAUGCACAAUCUAAAACUAUCUAAAUGUCUCACCUUUGGGAAAUGAUUACAUAAAUUAUUAAUUUCCAUAUAGUUUAAAAUCUUGACAGUUUCAAAAGAAAAUAUAAAAUAGGUGGUAAAAUAUAAUCCAGGUUUUUUUUUUAAUAUUUAAUACACGUUUACAUUUGUAUGUAAAAUUUCCUAGGUAAAUUAUGUCAACCAUUAAUAGUGUUUAUUACAUGGAUAUUUGGGGAGUGAGUAAUAUUGUUCUACAGGUUUUGUGCAUUUUUUCAAAUUUUCUAUAAUAAACAUUCAUUUUAUAUAUCAGAAUAAAUGUAUUGGUGUUUUAGAUGAAAAUGCUUAUUAAUCUUGGUUAUGUAAAGGUUUUAGGAAGCAUAAUGUACAUACACAUUGUGCUAACCAACUGUGAGAUCAUCGAGGAUAUACCAGAAACUGAUUUUCUGCAUCAGGCAGAGACACUGCCUAAUCAGAAACCUAGGGACAGAUUCUCUUGGGUCAAGAGAAAUUUCUGUGUUUACUCAUGUGGUCUCAAGGAAUUUAAAUAUCAAAAUCUGACCUCAUUUUCAUGUCUUGUAAAAUAUAUGUGAGAAGGUGCCCAAUACAAAAAAAUAAUGUGACCAGUGGCUGCAAGAAUAAAAGAGAUCUUCAGUUACUUUGAGGGUUCUAAACAUUUUCAGGCAAGAAGAAAUAGUGUUUUGAAUCUACUUUUGCAUCAGCACUUUAAAACUGACAUGGAAAAGUUGGCACUCUUGAGAGAAAUGAUCACAAUGAUAAGUGGGUUUUCAAACAUAUUGCAUGAGGUAGAGUUGGACUAAGUUGUGAUCUUUAGCAAAGAGAAUAGUAGACUUGAAAGAGAAAUGAGAGCUCUCCUGAGCUGCAAGAAAACAUGUCAGGAGAAAGACACAUGGUGUAUAGUCUGAUUGCUCAGCUGUUAAGUGGGAGAAAAUACCCAAUGGCUGGUUAAAACAAAGAUCUUUUGAAAUAAUUGGAACAAUUUGAAAAUUACUAGAUGAUCACGAAGGGUAGUCUAAUCCACAUAACUAAAUGAACUCAGACUGAGCCUGAAUGAUGAAUGAUUAGAACUAUUUUUUAAAUAUUGGCAGGUCAAGAACAGGUUGGAUGAGAUGGAUUCUCUUUUUAAUUUUAAGAUGUGAUAAUUCCAAAGUAAGCCAAGGAGUAAAAUAAAAAGCACUGAUCUAUUUUUAAGCACAUGCAUAUGGUGGAGGAUUUUGCAGGUAGCAGGAAAGGUGACAGUAG
RNAcentral lists this long non-coding RNA (4825 nucleotides) under Sus scrofa (pig). RNAcentral's name for it is "lncRNA (ENSSSCG00000059798.1)". Lineage: Eukaryota; Metazoa; Chordata; Mammalia; Artiodactyla; Suidae. The record is from RNAcentral.